GACGAACGCUGGCGGCGUGCCUAAUACAUGCAAGUAGAACGCUGAAGGAGGAGCUUGCUUCUCCGGAUGAGUUGCGAACGGGUGAGUAACGCGUAGGUAACCUGCCUGGUAGCGGGGGAUAACUAUUGGAAACGAUAGCUAAUACCGCAUAACAGUAGAUGUUGCAUGACAUUUGCCUAAAAGGUGCAAUUGCAUCACUACCAGAUGGACCUGCGUUGUAUUAGCUAGUUGGUGAGGUAACGGCUCACCAAGGCGACGAUACAUAGCCGACCUGAGAGGGUGAUCGGCCACACUGGGACUGAGACACGGCCCAGACUCCUACGGGAGGCAGCAGUAGGGAAUCUUCGGCAAUGGACGGAAGUCUGACUGAGCAACGCCGCGUGAGUGAAGAAGGGUGUCGGAUCGUAAAGCUCUGUUGUAAGAGAAGAACGAGUGUGAGAGUGGAAAGUUCACACUGUGACGGUAUCUUACCAGAAAGGGACGGCUAACUACGUG
Molecule: ribosomal RNA, 495 nt
Filed under: uncultured bacterium
Lineage: Bacteria
Description: partial 16S ribosomal RNA
Rfam family: Bacterial small subunit ribosomal RNA
Source: RNAcentral